AGUGAACGCUGGCGGUAGGCCUAACACAUGCAAGUCGAACGGCAGCACAGUAAGAGCUUGCUCUUACGGGUGGCGAGUGGCGGACGGGUGAGGAAUACAUCGGAAUCUACUUUUUCGUGGGGGAUAACGUAGGGAAACUUACGCUAAUACCGCAUACGACCUACGGGUGAAAGCAGGGGAUCUUCGGACCUUGCGCGAUUGAAUGAGCCGAUGUCGGAUUAGCUAGUUGGCGGGGUAAAGGCCCACCAAGGCGACGAUCCGUAGCUGGUCUGAGAGGAUGAUCAGCAACACUGGAACUGAGACACGGUCCAGACUCCUACGGGAGGGAGCAGUGGGGAAUAUUGGACAAUGGGCGCAAGCCUGAUCCAGCCAUACCGCGUGGGUGAAGAAGGCCUUCGGGUUGUAAAGCCCUUUUGUUGGGAAAGAAAAGCAGCAGGUUAAUACCCCGCUGUUCUGACGGUACCCAAAGAAUAAGCACCGGCUAACUUCGUG
RNAcentral lists this ribosomal RNA (492 nucleotides) under uncultured bacterium. RNAcentral's name for it is "partial 16S ribosomal RNA". It matches the Rfam family "Bacterial small subunit ribosomal RNA", at positions 29 to 507 of the family's 1533-position model. The record is from RNAcentral.